Notolabrus celidotus (New Zealand spotty) is the source of this 1057-nucleotide long non-coding RNA. RefSeq lists it as uncharacterized. NCBI's taxonomy places the organism in Eukaryota, Metazoa, Chordata, Actinopteri, Labriformes, Labridae. The transcript is spliced from 4 exons. The record is from RefSeq and is a predicted model, not a curated record.
CUGCAUCUGUGUCCUCCUGAAAAACAGUUGUGCAUUCUCACUCCGUGUCUUCAAACAUCAAAUUUGAACAACAAAGUACCGAAGGAUGACAAAAUGUUCUCUUGAAUUGGCUUCGUGUUAAGUGCUCAGCGCAAGCAUGCUCACAACAUGCUUACAAAACAUUCAAAUUAACCUACCUCUUUCAUUCACAAGAUGGCACUGCAGUCAUUGUUGGAGGGAGGACAAGCUGCAGUCUGACAUCAGAAAUUAAAAGUUAUACAAAGGAUGUGAGUGGCGGUUUUGUGUGCAGAGCUGCAAAGCAUCCACAACAGCCGUUAUUAAGUGCAGUGCAUCAGACCCAUCAACAACUAAAAGCAGUGGAUGGCGCCACUUACCGUGAAGUGAGUGUACCCCUCAUGACUGAGGCCAGCUGUCACUCAUCACUGUGACACCAAGGAGAAGCAGGAUGAAGACACAUGAGAACAUGAGUCACCUGAGGAGCGACUUUGUGAAAUAGAUGGAGAUGUCAUACUCAAAUUACCGGGACGCUCUCCCCGUCACACAGGAGCAGUGGGAGCUGUCUAGGGUGUCUUGCUCCACGUCUUUAAAUUAAUGAGCCGUUUGUCAAGUGAGAAUUCAUCAUAGUAGCACACACACUUAGGUGGUGUGAAACAGACUGAUUCACAUCAUCCUGUCCCCUGAGUGAUGUUGUUUUAACACGUCACAAUGAACAAGGCUGUGAAAGCCUUGCCUAAGAUUCCUACGCGAUAUUAUUAUAUAUAUAGUGAAGUAAAAUGUGCGAUAAUAUUGGAUUCUGGAGCCUGGAAAAGGAAGUUUAGAGAGUAAGGGUGAAUGACAAGAAAAAAGAUAUUUGAACAUGAGUCAUUUUGUUCUUAUCACCAUUUUUUAAUACAAUAUGCUUUUAUAUUUAUGUUCCUAGUUGCAAUCUUCUUGAGUUACUUGACAAUAAGAAUAUUCUGGUUUAUUUGCUUCCUAUUUAUUUUCCUAUUCUAUUUACUUGUUUAAUAUGAUGCAGCAGAAACGCUGACAAAUUCCUUAUAUGUUUAAACCCACAAGG